Molecule: ribosomal RNA, 395 nt
Filed under: uncultured bacterium
Lineage: Bacteria
Description: bacterial SSU rRNA
Rfam family: Bacterial small subunit ribosomal RNA
Source: RNAcentral
GAUGAACGCUGGCGGCGUGCCUAAUACAUGCAAGUCGAGCGGAAAGGCCUCUUCGGAGGUACUCGAGCGGCGGACGGCUGAGUAACGCGUAGGAACGUACCCAGUCGUGGGGGAUAACUAUCCGAAAGGAUAGCUAAUACCGCAUACGUCCUGAGGGAGAAAGCGGGGGAUCGCAAGACCUCGCGCGAUUGGAGCGGCCGAUAUCGGAUUAGCUAGUUGGUGGGGUAAAGGCUCACCAAGGCGACGAUCCGUAGCGGGUCUGAGAGGACGACCCGCCACACUGGAACUGAGACACGGUCCAGACUCCUACGGGAGGCAGCAGUGGGGAAUUUUGGACAAUGGGGGCAACCCUGAUCCAGCCAUUCCGCGUGAGUGAAGAAGGCCUCGGUUGUAAG